This 229-nucleotide ribosomal RNA is filed under the name uncultured bacterium. RNAcentral describes it as "partial 16S ribosomal RNA". It matches the Rfam family "Bacterial small subunit ribosomal RNA", at positions 568 to 796 of the family's 1533-position model. The record is from RNAcentral.
UACGUAGGCGAAAAAUUAAGUCAGUAGUGAAAUCCUGCAGCUUAACUGUAGAACUGUUAUUGAUACUGGUUUUCUUGAAUAUAGUUGAGGUAGGCGGAAUGUGUAAUGUAGCGGUGAAAUGCAUAGAUAUUACACAGAACACCGAUUGCGAAGGCAGCUUACUAAGCUAUGAUUGACGCUGAGGUACGAAAGCGUGGGGAGCGAACAGGAUUAGAUACCCUGGUAGUCC